CCUACGGGUGGCAGCAGUAGGGAAUAUUGCUCAAUGGGGGAAACCCUGAAGCAGCAACGCCGCGUGAAGGAAGAAGGCUUUCGGGUUGUAAACUUCUUUUAAGAGGGAAGAGCAGAAGACGGUACCCGACCAAGAAGCCCCGGCUAACUACGUGCCAGCAGCCGCGGUAAUACGUAGGGGGCGAGCGUUAUCCGGAAUUACUGGGUGUAAAGGGAGCGUAGACGGCGAGGUAAGCCUGAAGUGGAAGCCCGCGGCCCAACCGCGGAACUGCUUUGGGAACUGUUUUGCUGGAGUAUGGGAGGGGUAAGCGGAAGUCCUGGGGUAGCGGUGAAAUGCGUAGAUAGCAGGAGGAACACCGGUGGCGAAGGCGGCUUACUGGACCAUAACUGACGUUGAGGCUCGAAAGCGUGGGGAGCGAACAGGAUUAGAUACCCCGGUAGUC
Molecule: ribosomal RNA, 442 nt
Filed under: uncultured bacterium
Lineage: Bacteria
Description: partial 16S ribosomal RNA
Rfam family: Bacterial small subunit ribosomal RNA
Source: RNAcentral